RNAcentral lists this transfer RNA (76 nucleotides) under Paratissierella segnis. RNAcentral describes it as "Tissierellaceae bacterium BX21 tRNA-Arg". It matches the Rfam family "tRNA". From Rfam's summary of the family: Transfer RNA (tRNA) molecules are approximately 80 nucleotides in length. The record is from RNAcentral. Lineage: Bacteria; Bacillati; Bacillota; Tissierellia; Tissierellales; Tissierellaceae.
GCACCCGUAGCUCAGUCGGAUAGAGCAGCGCCCUCCUAAGGCGUGUGCGGGGGUUCGAUUCCUCUCGGGUGCACCA